Molecule: ribosomal RNA, 700 nt
Filed under: uncultured bacterium
Lineage: Bacteria
Description: bacterial SSU rRNA
Rfam family: Bacterial small subunit ribosomal RNA
Source: RNAcentral
AGUGGCGGACGGGUGAGUAACACGUAAGAAUUUGCCUUUAGGAGGGGGAUAACAGUUGGAAACGACUGCUAAUACCCCAUAUGCUUUCGAGUGAAAUGGAUUUAUUUCCGCCUAAAGAGAAGCUUGCGGCUGAUUAGCUUGUUGGUGAGGUAAUGGCUCACCAAGGCGACGAUCAUUAUCUGGUUUGAGAGGAUGAUCAGACACACUGGAACUGAGACACGGUCCAGACUCCUACGGGAGGCAGCAGUGGGGAAUUUUCCGCAAUGGGCGAAAGGCUGACGGAGCAAUACCGCGUGAGGGAUGACGGCCUAUGGGUUGUAAACCUCUUUUUUCAGGGAGGAAUCAAUGACGUGUACCUGAAGAAUAAGCAUCGGCUAACUCCGUGCCAGCAGCCGCGGUAAGACAGAGGAUGCAAGUGUUAUCCGGAAUCACUGGGCGUAAAGCGUCUGUAGGUGGUCAAAUAAGUUAACUGUUAAAUCUUGAAGCUCAACUUCAAAAUCGCAGUCGAAACUAUUAGACUAGAGUAUAGUAGGGGUAAAGGGAAUUUCCAGUGGAGCGGUGAAAUGCGUAGAUAUUGGAAAGAACACCGAUGGCGAAGGCACUUUACUGGGCUAUUACUAACACUCAGAGACGAAAGCUAGGGUAGCAAAUGGGAUUAGAUACCCCAGUAGUCCUAGCUGUAAACAAUGGAUACUAGAUG